AGGGGUGUAGCUCAAUUGGUAGAGUAGCGGACUCCAAAUCCGUUGGUUGCGGGUUCGAUCCCUGCCACCCCUGCCA
This 76-nucleotide transfer RNA is filed under the name Syntrophaceticus schinkii. RNAcentral's name for it is "tRNA-Trp". It matches the Rfam family "tRNA". Rfam says of the family: Transfer RNA (tRNA) molecules are approximately 80 nucleotides in length. Their secondary structure includes four short double-helical elements and three loops (D, anti-codon, and T loops). Further hydrogen bonds mediate the characteristic L-shaped molecular structure. tRNAs have two regions of fundamental functional importance: the anti-codon, which is responsible for specific mRNA codon recognition, and the 3' end, to which the tRNAs corresponding amino acid is attached (by aminoacyl-tRNA synthetases). tRNAs cope with the degeneracy of the genetic code in two manners: having more than one tRNA (with a specific anti-codon) for a particular amino acid; and 'wobble' base-pairing, i.e. permitting non-standard base-pairing at the 3rd anti-codon position. Lineage: Bacteria; Bacillati; Bacillota; Clostridia; Thermoanaerobacterales; Thermoanaerobacterales Family III. Incertae Sedis. The record is from RNAcentral.